RNAcentral lists this long non-coding RNA (621 nucleotides) under Chinchilla lanigera (long-tailed chinchilla). RNAcentral describes it as "lncRNA (ENSCLAG00000026569.1)". The record is from RNAcentral. Lineage: Eukaryota; Metazoa; Chordata; Mammalia; Rodentia; Chinchillidae.
AAACCAACUGCUGCUGAGAAGCAACUCAUCCCUCCUUCCCUCCCAAGUGUCUUGGAAGAAGGGUCAGAAGAAAACCUCCCACAGCAGGAGGCUUCCACAUAGGAGCUCCAUCAGAGGCAAGGGGGCUUCACUGGCAAGUCCUCCGUCUCCCUCUUUAGCUAGAAAUGCACAUGGCUGUACACAGUCCUACAGAUGGAUGAAAAGAACCCAAUAAAAACCAUGUAGAACAUCUGGCCGGUACAUGUAUGGUCACACCAGAAUGGGCCUACGGUGCUUUGAAAUUAUAUAAGCUAACGUAUGUACCAGGGGAGUACAAAGAACACAAAACACAGAGGUCAGAUGAGUAAAAAAGGGAAAAGAAAAAAAUGUGGGAAGAAAGAAGCGAGAAAAGGAGGCAAAAUAAUUAAUAGAUGGGAUUCCUUUUUGUAUUAUUCUUGAAAUGACUGGAAUAAAAGAUGAUUCUCCAGAUUAUAUUCCAAAUACGCAGAAAAAUGCUAGCAAAUGUCAGAACUUGACAUCUUCAAACAAGAAUAGUUGUACACGUACCGACUACCUCCCUCCUGAGUCCCACUCUCAUGUCUAUGCUCCAGGGCACAACGUGGGCUCAUGCAUCAGGCCAAC